GACAGCAGCAGCCACGGGAAUACAGAGGGUGCGAGCGUUAAUCGGAUUUACUGGGCGUAAAGCGUGCGUAGGCGGCUUCUUAAGUCGGAUGUGAAAUCCCUGAGCUUAACUUAGGAAUUGCAUUCGAUACUGGGAAGCUAGAGUAUGGGAGAGGAUGGUAGAAUUCCAGGUGUAGCGGUGAAAUGCGUAGAGAUCUGGAGGAAUACCGAUGGCGAAGGCAGCCAUCUGGCCUAAUACUGACGCUGAGGUACGAAAGCAUGGGGAGCAAACAGGAUUAGAUACCCGCGUAGUCCCUGUCUCUUAUAC
This 306-nucleotide ribosomal RNA is filed under the name uncultured bacterium. Its description in RNAcentral is "partial 16S ribosomal RNA". It matches the Rfam family "Bacterial small subunit ribosomal RNA", at positions 507 to 807 of the family's 1533-position model. The record is from RNAcentral.